RNAcentral lists this small RNA (1260 nucleotides) under Pan troglodytes (chimpanzee). RNAcentral's name for it is "processed transcript". Lineage: Eukaryota; Metazoa; Chordata; Mammalia; Primates; Hominidae. The record is from RNAcentral.
CCAUUUCUCGCCAUGGCCCCUGCACUGCUCCUGGUCCCUGCUGCCCUCGCCUCUUUCAUCCUGGCCUUUGGCACCGGAGUGGAGUUCGUGCGCUUUACCUCCCUUCGGCCACUUCUUGGAGGGAUCCCGGAGUCUGGUGGUCCGGAUGCCCGCCAGGGAUGGCUGGCUGCCCUGCAGGACCGCAGCAUCCUUGCCCCCCUGGCAUGGGAUCUGGGGCUCCUGCUUCUAUUUGUUGGGCAGCACAGCCUCAUGGCAGCUGAAAGAGUGAAGGCAUGGACAUCCCGGUACUUUGGGGUCCUUCAGAGGUCACUGUAUGUGGCCUGCACUGCCCUGGCCUUGCAGGUAUGAGGCCCUGGCCUUGCAGGUAUACUACCAUGUGCUGGGGCUGGGCGAGCCUCUGGCCCUGAAGUCUCCCCGGGCUCUCAGACUCUUCUCCCACCUGCGCCACCCAGUGUGUGUGGAGCUGCUGACAGUGCUGUGGGUGGUGCCUACCCUGGGCACGGACCGUCUCCUCCUUGCUUUCCUCCUUACCCUCUACCUGGGCCUGGCUCACGGGCUUGAUCAGCAAGACCUCCGCUACCUCCGGGCCCAGCUACAAAGAAAACUCCACCUGCUCUCUCGGCCCCAGGAUGGGGAGGCAGAGUGAGGAGCUCACUCUGGUUACAAGCCCUGUUCUUCCUCUCCCCCUGAAUUCUAAAUCCUUAACAUCCAAGCCCUGGCUGCUUCAUGCCAGAGGCCCAAAUCCAUGGACUGAAGGAGCUGCCCCUUCUACUACUUGAGACUUUAUUCUCUGGGUCCAGCUCCAUACCCUAAAUUCUGAGUUUCAGCCACUGAACUCCAAGGUCCACUUCUCACCAGCAAGGAAGAGUGGGGUAUGGAAGUCAUCUGUCCCUUCACUGUUUAGAGCAUGACACUCUCCCCCUCAACAGCCUCCUGAGAAGGAAAGGAUCUGCCCUGACCACUCCCCUGGCACUGUUACUUGCCUCUGCGCCUCAGGGGUCCCCUUCUGCACCGCUGGCUUCCACUCCAAGAAGGUGGACCAGGGUCUGCAAGUUCAACGGUCAUAGCUGUCCCUCCAGGCCCCAACCUUGCCUCACCACUCCCGGCCCUAGUCUCUGCACCUCCUUAGGCCCUGCCUCUGGGCUCAGACCCCAACCUAGUCAAGGGGAUUCUCCUGCUCUUAACUCGAUGACUUGGGGCUCCCUGCUCUCCCGAGGAAGAUGCUCUGCAGGAAAAUAAAAGUCAGCCUUUUUCUACAUA